RNAcentral lists this small RNA (82 nucleotides) under Afipia sp. Root123D2. RNAcentral describes it as "Bradyrhizobiaceae sRNA BjrC68". It matches the Rfam family "Bradyrhizobiaceae sRNA BjrC68". Lineage: Bacteria; Pseudomonadati; Pseudomonadota; Alphaproteobacteria; Hyphomicrobiales; Nitrobacteraceae. The record is from Rfam by way of RNAcentral.
CUCUGACAACGGACGGGGCACAAACCCGGCAAUGCCCCGGCCGUCGGAGGGCUCCAGCGCAAGCUGGGGCCCUUCACUUUUU